Molecule: long non-coding RNA, 2419 nt
Organism: Homo sapiens (human)
Lineage: Eukaryota; Metazoa; Chordata; Mammalia; Primates; Hominidae
Source: Ensembl
GUUGAGUCUCUGCACAGCUGCCGCGCUGACGCGUUUUCCGCGUGUCCCGAGCCCCGGCGGCCCCGCGAGCUCGGUCCGUGCGGGGAAAGCAGGGCUGACGCCGUCUGCGGAGAGGACUGCGCAGCCGGGCUUGUGUGGGGCCGCGCGUAACGGCAGCGGCUACUCCCUGCCCAGGCCGGCCAGCACAGGGCCAUGGCCGAGGCGGCUGCGCCUCCGGUAAGGGCGACCCUCAUGGAGGCUUGGGGACGUGGAGCCGAGUCCUGAAUUCGCCAGGAGGAUGUUCCACCCCCCACCAUCUCCGGCGACCUCCUGGAACUGGGGAGGGCUCAGCCCGGGUGGCAGGAGGAGGACAAGGACUCCUAAGGCCACACGAUAAACGCCCUUCUCGCUCUCCGUUUCCUUGCCUGUGGAAUAAGGACUGGCAUUGCGGACUGACCUCCAGGGAGAGGCCCAGAUCUGAUCUGCAGAGAUCUCCCUUCCGGCUAUCGUGGCUGCUGUUCAGGUGGUGGAGAAGAAGAUGGAACCCCAGGCUGCCUGGCUACAGAGCCUGGAGGGAUGCAUGUGGACAGCCAAGAAGAAGCUGGCUGACUGCGAGAAGGUGGCUGUGGAGUUCGGGAACCAGCUGGAGGUGCCUGUGACUCCUGAAGACACGGUCGGGUAUUUCUCAGAGCAGCAGGGUGGCGGCCUGGAGGACUCAUAGAAGGAGUUCUGCAAAUGUGUUGUGAAGGGGAGCUGCGACACCCUGAGCUUCCUGGGUGAGAGGCUGGCCUCUGGGGGCCUCCACACCUUGGUUUUACUCCUUUAUUCAAUCACAUGAGACUCCUGAAUCUCAGAGCAGGAAGCAUGUGGAGAUCAUUUCUUCAGCCCUCUGUCUUCAGGCAGGUAGAAGGUAUCUGUCAUUCUCAUUUUGAAGUUUUAUGUAAUGAAAUGCAGAGGUUAUGUGACUUGUUCCAGAUUUCUUGGAGUAAAUAAACUGGAAUCUGCUCCUCGCUGUCCUGCCCUUCGCGUGGUGCCAGAGGCAGCUCCUGCGUGCACACCUGUGGCUCACCAGCCUAUCUGCUCCUGGGGAGCUGGGGCCUCCCCUGGUUUACAUCUGCAUCUCUAGGACUCCCACGCUGCACUCUGCACACUGAGUUCUCAGGAGAUUCCUGCUGAGCAAAGAAGGAUGAAUUGUAGGCCUGCUUUUUUUUUUUUUUUUUUUGAGACGGAGUUUUGCUCUUGUUUCCCAGGCUGGAGUGCAAUGGCGUGAUCUCAGUCACCACACCCUCCGCCUCCCGGGUUCAAGUGAUUCUCCUGCCUCAGUUUCCUGAGUAGCUGGGACUACAGGCAUGGGCCACCACACCCGGCUCAUUUUAUAUUUUUAGUAGAGACGGGGUUUCUCUAUGUUGGUCAGGCUGGCCGCGAACUCCCAACCUCAGGCGAUCCUCCCGUCUCGGUCUCCUAAAGUGCUGGGAUUACAGGAGUGAGCCACCAGGCUUGGCCAGGCCUGCUUUUAAGGAUGCCCCAGGUCCAGAAAAUCAGGGCCAGGCCUGGGAAGUUCGCUCCUUCAGGCAGGUGUGCGUCUUCGUGUGAGACUUGAUCAGACCUGGGUUUUUGUAGCUACCCCACUCCGAAGCUCUCCUGCGUGAACCUGGAAUUCUCACUGCUUUGGGCAGAGGUUCCUCCUUCAGAAAAGGGUCCCAGUGUGCUGUGGGAGGCAGGGUGAGGAGGCUGUCCGGCCUCAGGCGAGGAAGGAGAAGCACGUGGAAGGAAGGGCAGCAGGAAGCCUGAGCCUGACUGCCAUGGAUGGCCAGACCCACUCUUGGGCCUCAGUUUCCUCAUCUGUCUGGACUAGGCCAGGCCACCACCAAGCCAGAUCUGGCACCAGUGGAGAAAGGAGACAGGCAGGCAACUGCAGCCUGCCCAGUGCGGAGAGGGGCCAGAGCCCGGGCACUGGGCCCUGGUUAAUGGUGGAGCCAGCCUGGUGUGUGGCAGCCAGGUCGGGCUGGUGUCUUCAGAGUGGCUGUGUCAGAAGGGCCUCGUGUAUGACAGAAACGCAGGCCAGCUGGAACGUCCCCAGGCGUUCUGUCCUGGAUCAAGCAAGAGGAAGGGGCAAGUGGGAGGAGCCAGCAGGGCCCACAGGAGACCACUGUGGCACACCUGUGCUCAGGUAAGGCAUGCUGGGCCAUGUCUCCUCAGGCCUGUAUCCCUGGGCCUUAGGAGACAUGGCGUCCCCUGGGGGGCCUCACAGCGCCUCUAGUGGGGCCUUCUCCUGGGCGAGGCUCCUGAGGGAAGGCAGUGCGCAGCCUUGGCUGUGUCUCUGCAGAAUCUUGUAUGCUUGCUGCGUGGUGUCCUCCCAUGCAGUUGCACGAAAUCAUUCUUUUAUUCCUGAUCCUGUUUCCUGUUUAUUUCAUGAACUUGUCUGUAGGCAGCAUGGUGC